This 24-nucleotide non-coding RNA is filed under the name Arabidopsis thaliana (thale cress). Lineage: Eukaryota; Viridiplantae; Streptophyta; Magnoliopsida; Brassicales; Brassicaceae. The record is from RNAcentral.
GAUGGUGACAUGUUGUUGCAGUUG